RNAcentral lists this ribosomal RNA (468 nucleotides) under uncultured bacterium. Its description in RNAcentral is "partial 16S ribosomal RNA". It matches the Rfam family "Bacterial small subunit ribosomal RNA", at positions 28 to 507 of the family's 1533-position model. The record is from RNAcentral.
GACGAACGCUGGCGGCGUGCCUAACGCAUGCAAGUCGAACGGAAAGGCCCUGCUUUUGUGGGGUGCUCGAGUGGCGAACGGGUGAGUAACACGUGAGUAACCUGCCCUUGACUUUCGGAUAACUUCAGGAAACUGGGGUUAAUCUCGGAUAGGAGCUCCCGCUGCAUGGUGGGGGUUGGAAAGUUUCGGCGGUUGGGGAUGGACUAGCGGCUUAUCAGUUUGUUGGUGGGGUAGUGGCUUACCAAGGCUUUGACGGGUAGCCGGCCUGGGAGGGUGACCGGCGACAAUAGGACUGAGAGACGGCCCAGACUGCAACGGUAGGCAACGGUGGGGAGUAUUACACAGUGAGCGGGAGCCGGAUGCGACAACGCCGCGUGCGGGAAGACGGCCUGCGGGUAGUGAACCGCAGUCGCCUGAGACGAAGCGUUAGUGACGGUAACGGGUGAAUAAGCACCGGCUAACUACGUG